GAGGGUAUAGCUCAGUGGUAGGGUGCGUGUUAGCAUGCACAAGGUCCUGGGUUUAAGCCCCAGUACCUCCA
RNAcentral lists this transfer RNA (71 nucleotides) under Camelus ferus (Wild Bactrian camel). It matches the Rfam family "tRNA". From Rfam's summary of the family: Transfer RNA (tRNA) molecules are approximately 80 nucleotides in length. Their secondary structure includes four short double-helical elements and three loops (D, anti-codon, and T loops). The record is from Rfam by way of RNAcentral. Lineage: Eukaryota; Metazoa; Chordata; Mammalia; Artiodactyla; Camelidae.